This 497-nucleotide ribosomal RNA is filed under the name uncultured bacterium. RNAcentral's name for it is "partial 16S ribosomal RNA". It matches the Rfam family "Bacterial small subunit ribosomal RNA", at positions 28 to 507 of the family's 1533-position model. The record is from RNAcentral.
GAUGAACGCUGGCGGCGUGCCUAAUACAUGCAAGUCGAGCGAACAGACGAGGAGCUUGCUCCUCUGACGUUAGCGGCGGACGGGCGAGUAACACGUGGAUAACCUACCUAUAAGACUGGGAUAACUUCGUGAAACCGGAGCUAAUACCGGAUAACAUGUUGAACCGCAUGGUUCAACAGUGAAAGACGGUUUUGCUGUCACUUAUAGCUGGAUCCGCGCCGCAUUAGCUAGUUGGUAAGGUAACGGCUUACCAAGGCAACGAUGCGUAGCCGACCUGAGAGGGUGAUCGGCCACACUGGAACUGAGACACGGUCCAGACUCCUACGGGAGGCAGCAGUAGGGAAUCUUCCGCAAUGGGCGAAAGCCUGACGGAGCAACGCCGCGUGAGUGAAGAAGGUCUUCGGAUCGUAAAACUCUGUUAUUAGGGAAGAGAAAAUGUGUAAGUAACUAUGCACGUCUUGACGGUACCUAAUCAGAAAGCCACGGCUAACUACGUG